UACGUAGGGUGCAAGCGUUGUCCGGAAUUACUGGGCGUAAAGCGCGUGUAGGCUGCUCCGAAAGUCAGGUGUGAAAGCCCCGGGCUCAACCCAGGAAGUGCACUCGAAACUGGUGGACUAGAGUAUCGGAGAGGUUGGUGGAAUUCUCGGUGUAGAGGUGAAAUUCGUAGAUAUCGAGAGGAACACCGGUGGCGAAGGCGGCCAACUGGACGAAUACUGACGCUGAGACACGAAAGCGUGGGGAGCAAACAGG
This 253-nucleotide ribosomal RNA is filed under the name uncultured bacterium. RNAcentral's name for it is "partial 16S ribosomal RNA". It matches the Rfam family "Bacterial small subunit ribosomal RNA", at positions 524 to 776 of the family's 1533-position model. The record is from RNAcentral.